RNAcentral lists this long non-coding RNA (502 nucleotides) under Salvia miltiorrhiza (redroot sage). RNAcentral describes it as "long non-coding RNA (SMIL_LNC000412)". The record is from RNAcentral. Lineage: Eukaryota; Viridiplantae; Streptophyta; Magnoliopsida; Lamiales; Lamiaceae.
AAAGCUAAGAUUUAAAAGUGCAACAACGAGGUGAUACAACUCAAUCCGAUCAGACCCAGUUCUCCGCUAAGGGUGAAUUUCCUAAUGCAAUUCCCUUUACAAUCAUGUCUCAUUCCUUUUCAUAUUCUUUCACUAUUCGCUUUACGCUUCUCUUCUUUUUUUUUUUUUUUUGGGGUUAAGUUAUUUUCGCUCUUAAUAGAUGGGCCAUAAUUCACGAGAUUUCACUUUUGGAGGUGAUCCAAAAUGUUCUCGUGUGGUUUCCCAUGCUCAUAAUGAAAUCAUUAGAGGAGCAGAGACCCAGACUAUCAGAAGCUCAACAACCAACCAAACAUUUCACAACAGAGACAGAUAUUAGGAAAUUGCACUGAAAACACUCCCCUUAGCAUCUACCGGACAAAUCACGUCAAGAGUUGCUCAUCAGGGUGUUGCACCAAAACCUUAAACUUAUUACACUUCAUAGGGAGCAAAUCAAUCAAGAAAAACGAGGACAACAAUCCAAACA